RNAcentral lists this ribosomal RNA (305 nucleotides) under uncultured bacterium. RNAcentral describes it as "bacterial SSU rRNA". It matches the Rfam family "Bacterial small subunit ribosomal RNA", at positions 338 to 660 of the family's 1533-position model. The record is from RNAcentral.
ACCACGGGGGGCAGCAGUGGGGAAUAUUGCGCAAUGGGGGAAACCCUGAUGCAGCGACGCCGCGUGAGCGAUGAAGUAUUUCGGUAUGUAAAGCUCUACCAGCAGGGAAGAAAAUGACGGUACCUGACUAAGAAGCCCCGGCUAACUACGUGCCAGCAGCCGCGGUAACACGUAGGGGGCAAGCGUUACCCGGAUUUACUGGGUGUAAAGGGGGCGCAGACGGCGAUGCAAGCCAGGAGUGAAAGCCCGGGGCCCAACCCCGGGACUGCUCUUGGAACUGCGUGGCUGGAGUGCAGGAGGGGCAG